CUUGACUGCAAAAUCAGUGAUAAGUUGUUGUGUUUUCCAGGCUGCCUUCUUUCAUUGACAAGAGGAACAAGGAGCGGGUUGGGAAAGUGUAGGAAGGACAAACUCAGCUCAGGUAUAACAUAUUUUUAAUGCUAAUGGGCAGGAUCCCUGAGAACUUAUACUGGCAUAAUUGGUGGUUAUAUUUGCAUAAGACCCUUCAGGGACAUUGCAAAAGAAAGAGAUAUCCAGUAUCUUCUUCUGCAACACCUUUGACCUGGCUAUGUCACAAUGGUGCUUUAGGUCUCAAGUGCACAACUUGGCUGCUGUUGCACAACAAGGUAAGAAGGAGUAGCAUUUUUCCUUGUUCAGGGGUGUGGGGAGGUACAUACCGCUUCUUCUUGUAUGCCUCUUCCAGCACCUUGAAGAAUCUUCUCUUUUUCUGUAUUCCUGUCCCCUUGCUUCUCUUCACUGUCUUGGAAGCCCUGUGGUGAAAGUAGCAACAGAGACAUCUGAUCCAAAGACAAUGGCCCAUUCUUUUGUCCAAUUAGACCUCUGGAUGACACUUUGUGAAAGAAGUGGCAGAUUAUUUUCUUUAUCCGAAGCCCUUCAACACCACCGCAUUAAUCAUCAUUAGCUCCACUCGCCUCCUGCUCGUCACCCCACCCCUGGACGGCAUCCACGGAGCUGUGUUCUAUAGGAAUUGCAUUGUCAUUGCCAACUCAUUAAUAUCCGCUGAUUUGAAUGAGGUGCUGACCCUCCUUUGUUAAGCGAGGCCUGAGAAACAGCAGCGCUGAUGCAUAAUGCCAUCCGAAAAGGUGCUCACCAGCCAUUGAGGACCUCCUCCAGAUUAAAUUUUCAAAUGUCAGGCUGGAAACAGAAGCUCAUUAAAAGUGCAUCCUCAAAAAAAUGCAAAUGAAGAAGAAGGCGGAAACAUACACAUGGACAUCCCCCCCUUACAAGCUGUAGCAAAGCCUACAUUUUUCCAAUGCCACAUGUGGAAAAGUGAUUACAGAGCAGCCUUGAUUAAUUAGGUGUGAGAAUUUUUAGCACUUCUCUGGUAAUAAACAAUACAACUUGCCCAGCA
Anolis carolinensis (green anole) is the source of this 1063-nucleotide long non-coding RNA. RefSeq lists it as uncharacterized. The transcript has 2 exons. Lineage: Eukaryota; Metazoa; Chordata; Lepidosauria; Squamata; Anolidae. The record is from RefSeq and is a predicted model, not a curated record.